AAAAUCCAGUCCGGCUGAAGCCGCAGCAGGCAGGCCGGUAGCGAGUCUUGCCUUCCGGCGGGCGACCGUCGAAAGAGAAGCGUAGCCAGCGAGAAAGUGGACGGUGAGGAUUCAGCUCCGAAAUCUAUCUCAUUGCGGCUGCCGAGACUUUUAUUCUCAGUCGAAGGCUGUAUUGGGUUCACCGAUAUGCGAGGUGAUCCUGAGCCGCCGGAGUCUCUGGCUG
This is a non-coding RNA of Acidobacteria bacterium 13_1_40CM_3_56_11, 223 nucleotides long. The record is from Rfam. Lineage: Bacteria; Pseudomonadati; Acidobacteriota.